Molecule: long non-coding RNA, 1186 nt
Filed under: Homo sapiens (human)
Lineage: Eukaryota; Metazoa; Chordata; Mammalia; Primates; Hominidae
Description: HSALNT0185925
Source: RNAcentral
ACUAUUUCACAAAGACACAGCCAAGCCCAUCAUACAAGGCAUCUCCUGAGAGGCUGCAUAGAUCCAUUGAGACCCAGAACAGACCAUUAGGUUUGGAAAGGUGGAAAAAAAAUGUUUGCCAACCUCUACUUUAGUGGGACGAUUCUGAAGCACAUUCUGCGUGGUUCCUCAGAGUGUUCUCAGCAAGACUGAGACCCAGAUGUUCACAAUGGAUUCCAAAUUGGUGGCCUUUAAACUGGAAUACAGCUGACAUGGGAUCUAGAAAAUGGAUUCCCAGAUUUUCAACUCAUGCUAUACAGGAGAGAGCAUGAAAGGAGCGGAAAUGGCUCUGAAGACCACAGAUGAUCUGGCACACACCACCCCCAUCACUUGCGGGAUAAAAUCCAAACUGCUCAACAAAGAAAAACCAUAGCCUUCACAAGCUGGUGUCUUCCUCUGUAAUCAUCUCUCUUCCUUUCUUCCUUGGCACUGACCUUAUUGAAUUACUGACUUGCAGUUGCACAACUGCACUUUAUGCAUAGUUUCAUGCCUCCAUGCCUUUGCAAAUGCUAUUCCCCAGGGGUGGAAGUCAUUCUACCACCCUCUACUCCCAUGAGUGGCCUUCUGGACAAACUUCUAUUUGUUCUCAUGACACCAAUGCAAAGAGUCUCUGUUCUGUGAAGUUUUCUUGAUCUUCUCUUCUCCCAUAAUUGUUCCUUGUACUCACCUCUUUAUUUAGUGAAUCCAGUAUUCAUUUAUGUGCCUGCUUCCUGUGCUAUACUGUAAGCUCCUUAAUUGUUUCUUCUUUACCUUUAUCCCCCAAGUGCCCUGCCUAAUGUUUGGCUUAUAAUAGACACCCAAUUCAUCUCUUAUGGAAUAAAUGAGUAGAUGAAAGCUCCUAUACGGCGCUGUACCUUGAGGUCAAAGCAUCAGUGAAAUUGCUUACAGGAGAUAUAAGCAGCCAGAUCCCUUGCUAUGGAGACACCAUUUGCUAAAUCCUGCCCUGUGGAAAAUAGCGUUAUAUAGGUAGGUUCCAGCUGUCUUUCUAUUCAUAGCCUGUAUUCCUUGUCAUAUCCAAGUAAUUAUUCAGCAGCUGCCUGCCUUUCUACAUUCUAAUAUCUUUUCAAAUGGAUUCUGAAUCUGGAAAUGGUGUUGGACCCUAGCUGGAUACUAGUUGGCUUAAAGAAAACCCACUCUCCUAAAAUGC